This 385-nucleotide transfer-messenger RNA is filed under the name Halobacteriovorax marinus. RNAcentral's name for it is "Standard tmRNA". It matches the Rfam family "transfer-messenger RNA". From Rfam's summary of the family: Bacterial tmRNA, also known as 10Sa RNA or SsrA, is named for its dual tRNA and mRNA-like properties. Its role is to liberate the mRNA from a stalled ribosome. To accomplish this part of the tmRNA is used as a reading frame that ends in a translation stop signal. The record is from RNAcentral. Lineage: Bacteria; Pseudomonadati; Bdellovibrionota; Bacteriovoracia; Bacteriovoracales; Halobacteriovoraceae. RNAcentral also lists the same sequence under 1 other name.
GGGGGUGCCCUGGUUUCGACGGGUUGCUAGAAGUUUUGUGGGCGUGUCCAGGCUGGUGUCCAAGGUCCUGGUUAAAAGGAGACCAAACCAUAAUUGCAGAAUCUAAUUUUGCUCCAGCUAUGGCCGCUUAAUUUAAUUAACGCCGCCGCUUUAAGUAGCUUGAGGGGUUAGCAUCCAAUAAACAGAAGCUAACAUCCCAGUGGUAACAACUGGCUAACUUGUUACGCAGCAACUGCCAUGCAAUGCUGUUGAAAAAACAAGUGGGGUUUGUCGAGUUCGCGUAAUUCGAACAGUCUUGUCUUCUGACGAUAAAUGAAGACUACGCACGUAGUCCGCACUAUGGAAAUCAACUCGGACGCGGGUUCGAUUCCCGCCACCUCCACCA